Molecule: ribosomal RNA, 928 nt
Filed under: Scopuloides hydnoides
Lineage: Eukaryota; Fungi; Basidiomycota; Agaricomycetes; Polyporales; Meruliaceae
Description: LSU rRNA
Rfam family: Eukaryotic large subunit ribosomal RNA
Source: RNAcentral
GCAUAUCAAUAAGCGGAGGAAAAGAAACUAACAAGGAUUCCCCUAGUAACUGCGAGUGAAGCGGGAAAAGCUCAAAUUUAAAAUCUGGCAGUCUUUGGCUGUCCGAGUUGUAAUCUGGAGAAGCGUUUUCCGCGCUGGACCGUGUACAAGUCUCUUGGAAUAGAGCGUCAUAGAGGGUGAGAAUCCCGUCUUUGACACGGACUACCAGUGCUUUGUGAUACGCUCUCAAAGAGUCGAGUUGUUUGGGAAUGCAGCUCAAAAUGGGUGGUAAAUUCCAUCUAAAGCUAAAUAUUGGCGAGAGACCGAUAGCGAACAAGUACCGUGAGGGAAAGAUGAAAAGCACUUUGGAAAGAGAGUUAAACAGUACGUGAAAUUGCUGAAAGGGAAGCGCUUGAAGUCAGUCGCGUUGUUCAGAACUCAACCUGGUUUUACUUGGUGCACUUUCUGAAUGACGGGCCAACAUCAGUUUUGACUGUCGGAUAAAAGCCUUUGGAAUGUGGCACCUCCGGGUGUGUUAUAGCCUUUGGUUGUAUACCGUGGUUGGGAUUGAGGAUCGCAGCACGCCUUUUUUGGCCGGGGUUCGCCCACGUACGUGCUUAGGAUGUUGGCGUAAUGGCUUUAAACGACCCGUCUUGAAACACGGACCAAGGAGUCUAACAUGCCUGCGAGUGUUUGGGUGGAAAACCCGAGCGCGCAAUGAAAGUGAAAGUUGGGAUCCCUGUCGUGGGGAGCACCGACGCCCAUACCAGACCUUCUGUGACGGAUAUGCGGUUGAGCAUGUAUGUUGGGACCCGAAAGAUGGUGAACUAUGCCUGAAUAGGGUGAAGCCAGAGGAAACUCUGGUGGAAGCUCGUAGCGAUUCUGACGUGCAAAUCGAUCGUCAAAUUUGGGUAUAGGGGCGAAAGACUAAUCGAACCAUCUAGUAGCU